This 398-nucleotide ribosomal RNA is filed under the name uncultured bacterium. RNAcentral describes it as "partial 16S ribosomal RNA". It matches the Rfam family "Bacterial small subunit ribosomal RNA", at positions 523 to 918 of the family's 1533-position model. The record is from RNAcentral.
AUACGUAGGGUGCGAGCGUUGUCCGGAAUUACUGGGCGUAAAGAGCUCGUAGGUGGUUUGUCGCGUCGUCUGUGAAAUUCCGGGGCUUAACUCCGGGCGUGCAGGCGAUACGGGCAUAACUUGAGUACUGUAGGGGAGACUGGAAUUCCUGGUGUAGCGGUGAAAUGCGCAGAUAUCAGGAAGAACACCGGUGGCGAAGGCGGGUCUCUGGGCAGUAACUGACGCUGAGGAGCGAAAGCAUGGGUAGCGAACAGGAUUAGAUACCCUGGUAGUCCAUGCCGUAAACGGUGGGCGCUAGGUGUAGGGGUCUUCCACGACUUCUGUGCCGUAGCUAACGCAUUAAGCGCCCCGCCUGGGGAGUACGGCCGCAAGGCUAAAACUCAAAGGAAUUGACGGGG